CCUACGGGAGGCAGCAGUGGGGAAUAUUGGACAAUGGGCGAAAGCCUGAUCCAGCAAUGCCGCGUGAGUGAUGAAGGCCUUAGGGUUGUAAAGCUCUUUUACCAGGGAUGAUAAUGACAGUACCUGGAGAAUAAGCUCCGGCUAACUCCGUGCCAGCAGCCGCGGUAAUACGGAGGGAGCUAGCGUUGUUCGGAAUUACUGGGCGUAAAGAGUACGUAGGCGGUUAUUCAAGUCAGAGGUGAAAGCCCGGGGCUCAACCCCGGAACUGCCUUUGAAACUAGAUAGCUAGAAUCUUGGAGAGGUCAGUGGAAUUCCGAGUGUAGAGGUGAAAUUCGUAGAUAUUCGGAAGAACACCAGUGGCGAAGGCGACUGACUGGACAAGUAUUGACGCUGAGGUACGAAAGCGUGGGGAGCAAACAGGAUUAGAUACCCUGGUAGUCCACGCCGUAAACGAUGAUAACUAGUUGUUCGGGCACUUGGUGCCUGAGUGACGCAGCUAACGCAUUAAGUUAUCCGCCUGGGGAGUACGGUCGCAAGNUUAAACUCAAGGAAUUGACGGCUGAGACGNGCGAGCGACGACGAGGAGAG
Molecule: ribosomal RNA, 588 nt
Filed under: uncultured bacterium
Lineage: Bacteria
Description: bacterial SSU rRNA
Rfam family: Bacterial small subunit ribosomal RNA
Source: RNAcentral